RNAcentral lists this ribosomal RNA (253 nucleotides) under uncultured bacterium. Its description in RNAcentral is "partial 16S ribosomal RNA". It matches the Rfam family "Bacterial small subunit ribosomal RNA", at positions 524 to 776 of the family's 1533-position model. The record is from RNAcentral.
UACGAAGGGGACUAGCGUUGUUCGGAAUUACUGGGCGUAAAGCGCGUGUAGGCGGCCAUGCAAGUCGGAUGUGAAAGCCCCUGGCUCAACUGGGGAAGUGCACCCGAAACUGAAUGGCUUGAGUGCGAAAGAGGGUCGCGGAAUUCCCGGUGUAGAGGUGAAAUUCGUAGAUAUCGGGAGGAACACCGGUGGCGAAGGCGGCGACCUGGGUCGACACUGACGCUGAGGCGCGAAAGCGUGGGGAGCAAACAGG